RNAcentral lists this ribosomal RNA (468 nucleotides) under uncultured bacterium. Its description in RNAcentral is "partial 16S ribosomal RNA". It matches the Rfam family "Bacterial small subunit ribosomal RNA", at positions 28 to 507 of the family's 1533-position model. The record is from RNAcentral.
GACGAACGCUGGCGGCGUGCUUAACACAUGCAAGUCGAACGGAAAGGCCCUGCUUUUGUGGGGUGCUCGAGUGGCGCACGGGUGAGUAACACGUGAGUAACCUGCCCUUGACUUUGGGAUAACUUCAGGAAACUGGGUCUAAUACCGGAUAGGAGCUCCUGCUGCAUGGUGGGGGUUGGAAAGUUUCGGCGUUUGGGGAUGGACUCGCGGCUUAUCAGCUUGUUGGUGGGGUAGUGGCUUACCAAGGCUUUGACGGGUAGCCGGCCUGAGAGGGUGACCGGCCACAUUGGGACUGAGAUACGGCCCAGACUCCUACGGGAGGCAGCAGGGGGGAAUAUUGCACGAUGGGCGGAAGCCUGAUGCAGCAACGCCGCGUGCGGGAUGACGGCCUUCGGGUUGUAAACCGCUUUCGCCUGUGACGAAGCGUGAGUGACGGUAAUGGGUAAAGAAGCACCGGCUAACUACGUG